RNAcentral lists this long non-coding RNA (338 nucleotides) under Solanum tuberosum (potato). RNAcentral describes it as "long non-coding RNA (STUB_LNC010763)". Lineage: Eukaryota; Viridiplantae; Streptophyta; Magnoliopsida; Solanales; Solanaceae. The record is from RNAcentral.
AAGAGUAGCUCCGGUCCCUACAUGGUGACAUCAUGUAGGCAAAAUAUGCGUUAGUACUUGGAAUGUACUAAGUAUGCGGGGUGCAACACAACAAUAGACAAGGACACAAUCGAAAUACAAGAAAUAGUUUCAUAGGCAUUAUGAAUAACAAUAUGAGGAUGCAUGAUCAAAGUGAAGUCAAAACAUGUUUAAGUAACUCUAUACUAUUAGUAGAUAUCAUAUGUGUAUGCAUGAUCCAACCAAUCUAUAACCCCAACUUAGGAUGGGGGAUGCCGUUCACACCCGGACACCCUGGUGGCAAGGUAUAAACCCCUCACAUGGUUGAUGUUGGUCACACC